AUUGAGUACAAAUAGGUAUAUAAUGAUUCCUACCUAUAGAGCUAACAUCAGGAGUCAAGUUCAUGGUAAGAUGUGUGUGCUCAGUAGGCUCUGGCUAGGUAGGUGGUGUGUGGACUCGUGGCGAUUGAGAGGAAGGUAGUGGAGCAGGAGGUGUGACUUCUGUUGGUGUUGGAUCUAGAAAAGCUGAUGGAAUAUGGGCAGAA
RNAcentral lists this long non-coding RNA (203 nucleotides) under Elaeis guineensis (African oil palm). Its description in RNAcentral is "long non-coding RNA (EGUI_LNC047789)". Lineage: Eukaryota; Viridiplantae; Streptophyta; Magnoliopsida; Arecales; Arecaceae. The record is from RNAcentral.